UCACAUGUGUUCACACACUCACUCAUGUGCACACACACAUAUACACACUAGUGCACACACCACCUCUCAUGCACACACACAUGCACUCAUGUGCUCACACACAUACAUGGUAGUAAAAGAAAUACAUCACCUAUUUCUUGUAAAGAACAAAACACCCCAAAAAUGCAGCAAAAGAAAAAAUAGAGGGAAAAAAUAACAC
RNAcentral lists this long non-coding RNA (199 nucleotides) under Hordeum vulgare. Its description in RNAcentral is "long non-coding RNA (HVUL_LNC012197)". The record is from RNAcentral. Lineage: Eukaryota; Viridiplantae; Streptophyta; Magnoliopsida; Poales; Poaceae.